This is a long non-coding RNA of Acanthochromis polyacanthus (spiny chromis), 12987 nucleotides long. RefSeq lists it as uncharacterized. NCBI's taxonomy places the organism in Eukaryota, Metazoa, Chordata, Actinopteri, Pomacentridae. The record is from RefSeq and is a predicted model, not a curated record. The transcript has 3 exons.
UGUACAUAUGUUUUGAUAUUGAAAUAUAAUGAUUAAGAUUCACCAUUUUUUUUUUAAAUUCACUCUUCAUCUUUUUAUAUGUCAUACGAUCUUUCAGACUUUAAGUAUAUUAAUAAGAUUUGUUUACAGGAUGGUUGGAGCUUCAGCACUCUAACUCGAGACCUGUCAUGAGGAACAGGGAUGUACUUGGAGGGGCGGGAAGGGGACCAAAGGGUAGAAUUUGUUCAGAGGGGUUUCUUAGUUUUGGAAAGGGGAAAGCCGUUAGUUUGGGUUUUGGUGUUUGGUUAUGCACUUUUCACAGACAAAGGUAAUCAAUGUUAAUUGGUUCAGGAGUUAUAAUACAGAAAAAUAUACUAAAUUAGAUUGUCAUUGGUCAUAAUAUGAUCAAAAUUUCUUCUUGGAAUGUUAAUGGUUUGGGCUCAUAUAUAAAAAGGCGAAAAGUUCUAAACUAUCUUAAGCAAAGGGGUUCAGAUGUGAUCAUGCUUAAAGAGACACAUCUUUUGGAAAAAGAAACACCUAGAAUUCAUGACAGAUGGAUUAAAUGUGCUUAUCAUAAUAAUUUUACUCAAAAAAGCGGGGUGUUUCCAUAUUGUUCUCAAAAAAGACCAAUAUUAUAGUGGAAAAAGAAUAUAGAGAUAAAGAGGGAAGAAUUCUUAUACUUUUAGUGAAUCUGGCAGACAAAAUGUAAUCCUAGGCAACCUGUAUGCUCCUAACACAGAAGACCCAGACUUCUUUCUACAACUAAAAAAGAUUAUAUUAGAUUUUGGUAAUUUCCCAGUGAUUCUAGGAGGGGAUUAUAACCAAAUUCUUGACGUGUUCCUAGACUGAUCUGGCCAGGGUAUUACCAGACCGUCCAAGACGCAGGAAGCUAUGAAAACACUUUGCAAAGACACAGGGCUACAUGAUGUCUGGAGAUUGUUAAAUCCAGAUACCAGAGACUACACGUUCUUUUCACACAGACAUUCAGUUCAUUCUCGUAUUGAUUAUUAUCUGAUUUCACAUGCCCUGAUUGAAAAUACGGUCACCUGCAGUAUAGACACAACAGCCAUGACAGACCGUGCUCCUGUUGACCUAGUGUUACCUCUGGUGAGACUCAAGAAAGAUCGAAAGGAUGGCAAAUGAAUACAAGUGUAUUACAGAAUGAGAAUAAAACAUUAAAACAUUCUUUGAAAUAAAUAAUGGAAUAUUGUAUGGGAUGUUUUCAAAGCCUACAUACGGGUGUCUUCAUACAACAAACAGCUUUAAUAAAGAAACAGGACAGGAUAAAAUUGACUCAAUAUGAGGAAGACAUUAAAAGAUAGAAAGUAAAUUUAGGCAAAAUCCAAAUAACACCUGCCUGGCCAACCUAAUGAAAAUUAAAUACAAACUAAAUAAUAUAUACACAAAAAAAGCAGAAUAUUCUCUUCAUAGACAAAAAUGGUAGGAAUCUGGUGAAAAAGCAAGCCAGCUAUUAGUCAGUCAGCUGAACGCUAGAGAAGCUGCUCACCAAAUAGGAGCAAUUAGAAAUAAAACUGGAGCACUGGUUACUAACCACAAAGAAAUGAACCCGGUAUUUAAACAGGUCUAUGAAGAACUCUACAGGGCAGAGGGUGAACCAGACCUAAGUACAGCAAAAACAUUCUUUGAACAUUUAAAUCUCCCUAAAUUGUCAGAAGAAGAUAUGAAAUACCUGGAACACCCAAUAACACUUGAAGAGGUGAAUAAAAUAAUACAACCCUUACCCUCAGGAAAAAGCCCAGGUACAGAUGGGAUUCCAAAUGAAUUUUACAAGUUUGCAGACGAUCUUAGCUCUGAAUUACUAAAAACAUUUAGCUCAGCCAUUAAUAAGGCACAGCUUCCAUUUUCUAUGACAGAAUCAAUAAUCACACUUAUACUGAAAAAAGGAAAAGACCUCCUGGAGUGUGGAAGUUAUCGGCCAAUCAGUCUACUAUGCUGGGAUGAAAAGCUGUGGACAAAAAUCUUUGCACUUAGAAUGAAUAAUGUAAUAACUUUGUGAAGGGCAGGACCUCCUCAGAUAGUUUCAGACGCUUACUUCAUUUAAUGUGGAAGGUCAAAGACUGGGACACUCCACUCUACUUUGUCCCUAGAUGCAAACCAGGCAUUUGAUCGGGUUAGCUGGAGUUACCUCAGCUUUGCCUUACAAGAAUUUGGUUUUGGUUUAGGAUUCCAGAACAUUAUCAAGCUCAUUUACAAUCAGCCUAAAUCUGAGGUAACAACUAAUGGUCUGAGGUCAGACUCCUUUGCAGUGAGGGACAAACCAGGGAGACCCACUCUCACCCCUCUUGUUUAUCAUAGAACCCCUUGCAAAAGCUGUAAGAUCAAACAAAUCAAUCACAGGAAUAACAAUGGGGGGGCAAGAAAACAAAUGAUCAACUUUUGCAGACGAUAUAUUGGUCAUGAUAUCAGAUCCUCAGAAAUCAAUACCUACAAUUUUAGAAACUAUCAGCUCGUUCUCUUCUAUAUCAGCAUAUAUGAUCAACUGGAACAAGUCUGAAGUGAUGCCACGCUCUAGAAGUUGUUAGAAAAGCAGUUUCCUUAAAUGGAAAUUCGAAUGGGUAGCUAAAAACCUAAAAUACCUUGGAAUAUGUUUGAAUCCGGGACUAGAGAACAUAAUAUUUGAUCAUUUCAACCCAGUCUGGGCUAAAAUAGAAAUCUUACUCAAGAGUUGGGAUAAAUUACAGUUAUCAUUAUGGGGAAGAAUACAAGCUAUAAAAAUGGUGGUAACCCCAAAAUUGAAUUGUCUCUUAAACAUGAUACCUAUAAAUAUACCAACGGCUCUUUUUAAAACCAUAGACAAAAUGUUCAAUCAAUUUAUCUGGGCUGGGAAAAGGGCGAGGAUGAAAAUAACAAGGCGACAAGCUAAAGUAGAAUACGGGGGUCUGAGUCUUCCUAAUAUGAAGCUCUACCAAGAAUCAUUUAUAGCGGCUCAAAUAACAUCAUUACUCUCAUUCAGAAAGGACAGACCUGUGUGGGUGGACCUAGAAGAAGAAUUAAUUGCUCCAUUUAAAGCAGCAGAUUACCUGAGUCAUAGUUCAAAAUCUCAAGAUGAAAAUCCAAUAAUUUCAUUGGCACCGCAUACAUAAGAAGGAAGGCAUGUUUCCUUACAGGUUCAUCAUCUAUAUGGAAUAACCCCUGAUUAAAAAUAGGGGGAAAGGUGUUGUUCUGGAGAGAAUGGCAUACCAAAGGAAUCAAUCAUAUUCAAUGUCUUUACCACAACAAAACCUUUAAAUCAUUUGAAGAGUUAAAAGAAACAUAUAACAUACACAAUAAAGACUCCUGGAAAUAUUUACAACUCAGGGAUUGCACAGAUGCAGCUAAACCAGCCCCCUUUGGAUUAGCCUGCAACAUCCUGGACUUCGCUUUCCAUGCCUGACAAUCUGCUUUAAUGUGCCCACGUCUCUGACAAUAGUGACAAAUCUGAUCACAAUCACAUGCAGCAGCACCUUUAAACUCCAGCCGUCUUGUAGUAUUAGACCGAUCAAAGCCCUCGCUCCGCGCGUCUCUUUGCCUACCAGAACCAAUAUACUGGCCAGAACCCAUAUUGUGAAAAUAGUCUUUAUGAGUUAGUUCGUACUCGUCUGCCAAUACCGCUGCAUCCGACACCUUCAUAGCCUUUUGUUCGUUAAUAUAAGUUGCAAUCUUCUCCGGUUAACAGUUUUUUAAUUCCUCCAUCAAAAUCAAUUCCCGUAACUGGUCAAACUUUUUAACAUUCUGCGCAGCGCACCACCGGUCAAACAAUGCAGCUUUAUCUCGUCCAAAUUCCACAUAAUUCUGUCUCUCAGUUUUCCUACCACGGCGAAAUUUUUGCCAGUACACUUCUGGCACAAGCUCAUGCGCGCUUUCCACUGCACUCUUGACUUUAUCAUAGUUUAAACCAUCCUCAGGUGAAAGUGAGGCAUAAGCUUCUUGCGCCCUGCCUGUCAAUACACACUGCAAAAGCAACGGCCACAGAUUCUUCGGCCAACUGAGUGUCGUUGCCACACACUCAAAUAAAACAAAAUACUUAUCCACGUCUCUCUCUGUAAACGGGGGAAUUAAACGAAUACACUUACUAACAUCAAAAUCUGACUGUACCGGACAGCUGCUCGGCUGACUGACCACCUACGUUGCCUCACGUCUCGCCGCUGCUUCCAUUUCUAAUGUACACAGUUCAAAAUCGAUCUCUAAACGACGCAUAGCCAGCUUCAACUCCAUCUUACGCACCUCAGCAUCGGGUGCUCCAGCCCCGGCCUCAGCGGUCAACGCCACAACAGGGGGUAAAAUGCUUUUCUCAGCCAACGCGGAAUGAAUUUGAUGUUUGAUAUUUGCCUUUUUAUCCUGCUUUACCACAGGUAUUCCAAACGCACAGCAAUAGACAUCAGAUUAUUUUUAGUACUAUCAUCAAGCUUCUCAAACGUGGGAUCAGCCACAAAAUCCUAUACACUGAACUCCGUCCUUGACCAAAUACGCAAAAAGUACAGUACGGGAAAACACACGGUGAAAUAAAGUGCCCAGCCCAGCCAUGUGGGCUGCACCCCAACAGCCACAGAGUCAGUGUGAGGAGAGAGAGAGCCCCUGCCCCCAAUGCCCAGGCAGCCCGUACUGUCCAGCUCAACAGCGGAAGCCAGCUUUUAUCCUCGAGAACCGGAAGUCAAGCUGGACCCUUAACCGUCCUUGGUCACCUCCUGUUGUCAGCUCUUUAAAGACAAGACAAACAUUAGGAUCACCACACUGGCAACAGGAUGGGGGUCGUCACACCUGGACAGGUAACAGUCCAUCACAGGUUCACUUGGACAGGUAACAGCCUAUCACAGGUUGACUUGGACAGGUAACAGUCCAUCACAGGUUGACUUGGACAGGUAACAGUCCAUCACAGGUUGACUUGGACAGGUAACAGUCCAUCACAGGUUGACUUGGACAGGUAACAGUCCAUCACAGGUUGACUUGGACAGGUAACAGUCCAUCACAGGUUGACUUGGACAGGUAACAGUCCAUCACAGGUUGACUUGGACAGGUAACAGUCCAUCACAGGUUGACUUGGACAGGUAACAGUCCAUCACAGGUUCACUUGGACAGGUAACAGUCUGUCAGAUGACCAGAUUCACAUUCACACCUACAGACAGUUUAGAACCAGCAGGUAGCCUCAGCAGGUCUUUGGAGAACCUGGUGAGAACCCAGCAGGAGAACAUGGAACCUCCACUCAGAAAGAUUCUGUUUCUAACAAACGACGCUGACAAGAAUUCCUGAAGCUGCUCAGUGUUCCUGAUUGAUUAGAAGACCUGGAACAGUUUGUUCUCUGAUAACUCCAUCCUGUCUCCACGGAAACAGGCUCUGAUUUAUGGUUUCCUUGAUGUUCCUGACACUGCGUCACGUUUUUAUCUGCUUUUCUUUCUGAGACAAAGAGUCUGUGGCGAGUGAAGGUCGGAGACUUUUUAUCCAGCAGCUAAAAAUAUGAAGGAUGAGGAAGAACCGACAGGAACCAGAAGAUUAGAGCCAAGAGUCUGCUCAGCAACGACCAGAACACAAACAUCUCACAGCAGAACCACACUGGGAUGUUCCUGUGACCAGAUGGUUAUUGAUCAGUCUGGUUAUUGAUCAGAUGGUUAUUGAUCAGUCUGGUUAUUGAUCAGUCUGGUUAUUGAUCAGAUGGUUAUUGAUCAGUCUGGUUAUUGAUCAGUCUGGUUAUUGAUCAGAUGGUUAUUGAUCAAUCUGGUUGUUGAUCAGUCUGGUUAUUGAUCAGAUGGUCAUUGAUCAGUCUGGUUAUUGAUCAGUCUGGUUAUUGAUCAGAUGGUUAUUGAUCAGUCUGGUUAUUGAUCAGUCUGGUUAUUGAUCAGAUGGUUAUUGAUCAGUCUGGUUACUGAUCAGAUGCUUAUUGAUCAAUCUGGUUGUUGAUCAGUCUGGUUAUUGAUCAGAUGUUGUUGAUCAGUCUGGUUAUUGAUCAGAUGUUAGUGAUCAAUCUGGUUAUUGAUCAGAUGGUCAUUGAUCAGAUGGUUAUUGAUCAGUCUGGUUAUUGAUCAGAUGUUAUUGAUCAAUCUGUUAUUGAUCAGAUGGUCAUUGAUCAGUCUGGUUAUUGAUCAGUUUGGUUAUUGAUCAGAUGGUUAUUGAUCAGUCUGGUUAUUCAUCAGUCUGGUUACGGAUCAGUCUGAUUACUGAUCAGUCUGAUUACUGAUCAGUCUGGUUAUUGAUCCAUCUGGUUACUGAUCAAUCUGGUUAUUGAUCAGUCUGGUUAUUGAUCCAUCUGGUUACUGAUCAGUCUGAUUACUGAUCAGUCUGGUUAUUGAUCCAUCUGGUUACUGAUAAAUCUGGUUACUGAUCAGUCUGAUUACUGAUCAGUCUGGUUAUUGAUUCAUCUGGUUACUGAUCAAUCUGGUUAUUGAUCAGUCUGGUUAUUGAUCCAUCUGGUUACUGAUCAGUCUGAUUACUGAUCAGUCUGGUUAUUGAUUCAUCUGGUUACUGAUAAAUCUGGUUAUUGAUCAGUCUGGUUACUGAUCAGUCUGAUUACUGAUCAGAUGGUUAUUGAUCAGUCUGGUUACUGAUCAGUCUGGUUAUUGAUCAGUCUGGUUAUUGAUCAGAUGGUUAUUGAUCCAUCUGGUUACUGAUCAGUCUGAUUACUGAUCAGAUGGUUAUUGAUCAGUCUGGUUGUUGAUCAGAUGUUAUUGAUCCAUCUUGUUAUUGAUCAGUCUGGUUAUUGAUCAGAUUCUUACUGAUAAGUCUGAUUAUUGAUCAGAUGGUUAUUGAUCAAUCUGGUUAUUGAUGAGAUGGUCAUUGAUCAGUCUGGUUACUGAUCAGUCUGGUUAUUGAUCAGUCUGGUUAUUGAUCAGUCUGGUUGUUGAUCAGAUGUUAUUGAUCCAUCUUGUUAUUGAUCAGUCUGGUUAUUGAUCAGAUUCUUACUGAUAAGUCUGAUUAUUGAUCAGAUGGUUAUUGAUCAAUCUGGUUAUUGAUGAGAUGGUCAUUGAUCAGUCUGGUUACUGAUCAGUCUGGUUAUUGAUCAGUCUGGUUAUUGAUCAGUCUGGUUAUUGAUCAGAUGGUCAUUGAUCAGUCUGGUUAUUGAUCAGAUGGUUAUUGAUCCAGAUGGUUAUUGAUCAGUCUGGUUACUGAUCAAUCUGGUUAUUGAUCAGUCUGGUUACUGAUCAGUCUGGUUACUUCUGUUAAAGAAUGUCCUGCCAGAUCUUGUCCUAGAAUCUGUUCUACCUGAACUACACCUGUGUGACAGGAAGUGAGGCUGGGUUUCAGAACAGAUCCGUCUGAUCUGAGAUUGACUGAACGUCGUGCUGAAGAACUUCUCAUGAAGAUGAAGUCAGAUGUUAGCAGACACACAUCAGAAACCUUCAGCUCUAACAUGAAGAAUCAAAUCUUUUCCUUUCAUUGAGUUCUUUGGACAGAUUUAAACUUCUGUUCUUUGGAAUAUUUCCUGCUGACAAAGCACAUCAUCUGAUGGUCGUUUUUCAUUUUCUGCACUUUACUCAACUUAAAAUGAGUUUGUCAUUUUCCUAAUUCACUGUUUUUGUUUCACUUUUAUUCCUUUUUGUUCUGAAUGUUUUCAUGUCGAUAAACACGGUGAGUUAUUUCCACCAACUAGAGAACCACAUCUAAGAUUCUUUCUCCAGAUUUUUAUGAUUGGUGACACUAAGGAUUUGAUGAGAUGGAGAUUUUUCUGUCCAGGCAUCAUUGACAGACGGCGAGGCGUUCACUGACCCACUGCAAAUGUUUACAGCAGCGCUGCAUCCACUGUAAUCAAACGUUAGAGAUGAAGAGCUGCCUGUUUACUUUAACCUGCAUUUAGCUCAAACAGCUGCAGCACUUUUCUCUUGGUCUGACUCACAGUUUCCUUCAGGUGUUUAGACUUCAGCAGGUCCAGACUGUGUGAAGGUCAGUGAAGGUAACACAGUCAGCAGCUGGAUUAAAUGUUCUUUCUUCCUGUGAGUCUCUCAGUGUUGACCAGCAGCAGGCUGUUGUUUUAUUUCAGGUCAUUUUCAGGUUUAUUGUGAACAAAUUCAAGCUCCCAGCUGCUGUUUGACAGAAAUGAUCAGAGAACUUCAGGUCCAGUCCGCUGAUCUUUUUCAGUGUCACAAGUUUUGGGGUCUGCAUUGUGUGGACACAUAAAUGACUCCAUAAAUAUAUUUUAUUAUUAAUUAUUGCUGUUGCCACUGGGUGUGUCUUUGUCUGAGCUUCCUGCUGUGAACUUUGGCUUUACCUGAUAGUAGAGGUCAGGGUUGGGUUCAGGGCCGGAAUGUCGGGUCCAGGAUAAACUUCCUGGAUGUAUUUUUCAGAAAUGCAAGAGUUUGAACUGAAUUCCAGGAAAUAUUGAGAUCUAAUUCCAGGUUUUUGUGUUUGUGUCAGGAGCUAUUGACUCCCUUUGUUUGGGAUAAUGAUGCAGUCUGAAUGUUAGUCGUUUCGUUUGUUCUUUUUGGUUGUUCUCAACCUCUCGCUACACUUUGUUCAGUCACUGCUUUCAUUGGACGUUUAAAGGGCUCUUAAAGCAGUUUAACACGUGUAGAAUGGCAGCAGAUUAUCCUGCAGACGGUCUAACAGCAGCUUUCUCUAACGGGUUCCUGGUUUUACUGGUGCAUAAACUUUAACAGGAGCCAGUUUGAGCAGCAGUGAGUCACAGUGUUUGUUCUCUGCUGGAGGUUUGACUCAUUAAAUCAUUCAGGAUCAAAAACAAGCCUGGAAAUAAUUUGAUUCUCUGAUGUUUCUGUCAGACCUGGAGCUUAGCGAUGAUCACACUGAGCAGUAUGAAUGAAGAUCGCUGACUUUUCACAUUCUCUUUCUGAUCUGGAGCUUUCCUGACUGUAAUUUUCCACCAUCAGCUGCCUCUGGUGUUUACAGCAGCAGGUAGGGAUACAUGUAAUUACUGUAAUAACACGGGGAACUGUGUGUGUUUGGCAGGAUGUCACAGAAUUCUGGAAAUUAAAUUAUAAUUCUAGUAAGUCAUCAUUAUCUAGUGAAGAAGGCACUGAGCCAAAAGUUCUAACAUUCCCAGCUUCACCUCCAGCCCAGCAGUAGAACAUCCAGAGUUAGGGAGGGUCUAAGAGGAACCCUGCAACAGAGUGGUUACCUGUCCAGGUGAAGCUUACUGCGAACACCUGCUGAAGGUCUCAGACUGAUUCCACAACAGUGACAGAAUGGACAUCUUUAAAUGAGCUGAUGGGACGACACUCUCUGACCAGGAAAGCUGGAAUAAGAGUUAAAGUUCUUAAACCUGAAGAUCAGAAUCAGCCCCUCGGACUCCAGUUUAUCUGCUGUUGUUGUUCGUCUCGUGUUGUCGAGGCACAGCUGCUCUCAGUCUGACUCCGUCCUGAAUGGAUUUAUAAUGUGGUAAAAACAGGCUGCUGAGGGGGAGGGUCUAAUGAAUUCCAGCUGCCUGAGGCCAAGCACACGAGGAUGUUGGAUUUCUACACAGCCACAAACAGAAACUGUGACCUGCUGAGUCAAACAUGCUCAACGUUUAACUCCCACCUGAGCAUCAACAAGUUUCUGUCAUCAGAGGAGUUCUUCAGGGUUAGCAAACAGAAACAGACUGACCAGCACGCUGAGCUGCAGCUGUUUAAGGUUUCUCCUUUUGUUUCCUGCUGAUGUCAGAAUAGAUGAUCGCUGGUCUGAAACUGGGCUGCACAGUGGAGUAGUGGUUAGCACUUUCGCCUUGCAGCAAGAAGAUCGAUCCAUCCAUCCUCUAUACACCGCUUUAUCCUCACUAGGGUCAUGGGGGUGCUGGAGUCUAUCCCAGCUGACUCGGGUGAAGGCAGGGGACACCCUGGACAGGUCACCAGUCUGUCACAGGGCUACAUAUACAGACACACAAUCACACUCACAUUCACACCUACGGACAAUUUAGAGUAACCAAUUAACCUCAGCAUGUUUUUGGACUGUGGGAGGAAGCCGGAGUACCCGGAGAAAACCCACACAUGCACAGGGAGAACAUGCAAACUCCAUGCAGAAAGAUCCCAGGCCGGGAUUUGAACCGGGGAUCUUCUUGCUGGGGCUGCACAGUGGGGUACUGCUUAGCACUUUCGCCUUGCAACAAGAAGAUCCCUGGUUCAAAUCCCAGUCUGGGCCUGGGAUAUUCCCCUGCCUUCACCAGAGUCAGCUGGGAUAGGCUCCAGCACCCCCCGCGACCCUAGUGAGGAUAAAGUGGUGGAUAGAGGAUGGAUGGAUGGUCUGAAACUCUUUUGUUUGUUUUAGCUUUUGUACAUUUCAGAGUCUCCUGUUGGUUUUUGCACCACACUGUGAUGCAGAAACAUGAUAUUGAUUCAUUUGCUGGGUUUGAGUUCCUCCUGUUUGGAGGGUUGAUGUCAGUCUGAGACUCAGACGUUCUUCUUUGAACAGUUUCUGUCUGUUGGAUCAGAAGGAGAAGUUCUGCUGUGGUCAGAAAGUUAUUAUUUUUAUUAUUUCUAAAGGUAACACACCAGCAUUAGCUUAGAGGGGAGCUGCAGUGCACAGGUCGCAUUUCCUUAACGGUGUAGUUAGUUUUGGUUGGAGGUUUGGUGAUGUGGCUGACGAUGAUGAUGAGGAGGAGGAGGACAGUGGUGAUGAAGACUCUGGGCCCGCUACAGACCAUCUGUCAAUUUGUCCUGCAGCUCUGUGAUUGGUCGUCCUGCUACUCAAAUCAAAUUUAUUUAUAAAGCACCUUUAAAACCACCACAGUUGACCAAGGUGCUGUACAUAAGCAUAAACAACAAGAUUAAAAAUAAAAAUAAUAAUGAUAAAAACAUUAACUAGGAUAAAAACAGUAAGAAGUAAAAACAGACUGCACAAUAAAAACAAAAACAAUAAAUAGACUAAACAAACUGGACUGCCCCUCCCAGAUAUAUAUGCAUGCACAUGAAAAACAACAAACCUAUGUGGUGUGAAAUGCCAACGAUAAAAGGUGGUUUUAAGAAGGGUUUUAAAGUUAGGCAAUGAGGAGGCCUGUCUAAUGUGGCAGCUCAUUCCAAAGCUUUGGAGCUGCCACAGAAAACGUUUGAUCCCCUCUGAGCUUCAGCCUUGUUUUGGGGAUCCUCAGGAGCAGCUGAUCAGCUGACCUGAGGGAUCGGCUCAGAGUAUGGUGAGACCAUGUAACGAUUUAAAAGCAAAUGAAAGCAUUUUAAACUAGAAAAGCACUCAGAGAGCGCAUACCUCCGCCAGGCGAUCUGUCUGUCUGUCUGUUAACAGCAUAACUCAAAAAGUCACGGACAGAUUUUCACCAAAAUUUUACAGGAUGUCCGGAAGAGCAAAAGUAACAAUCGAUUAGAUUUUGGAGGUGAUCCGGAUCACCGUCUGGAUCCAGGAUUUUUUUGAAGGACUCUGUGAUUGGUCGUCCUGCAGCUCUGUGAUUGGUCGUCCUGAACCUGUGCAGCAGCAGAAGGCGGUAAAAUAAACAGAGGAAGCUGAGGUGGGGGUGGGGAUCAGAGGGGCCCCAGGUCUGUUCACCUCCAGCUGCAGACGAAGACUAAAUGUGAAGCUGUUUCUAUUUGAACACAUUCACAGGAACCAACAGCUGACUGGAAACAGACAAACUCCUGCAACCCUGAAGACUCCACCUAAAGACUGAGUUCACCUGUUCUAAAAUCAGUGUGUAGCACCACCUGGAGACCAGUCAGAGGGAAGAUAGAUGGAAACCCAGAAACUCAGAGUUCAUCUCAGCUUCACCACAGUGAAGUUCAAGGCAGUUUUAGAAAAACUAUUCAGACCCUGUGUUUUUGGAAAAGUAGGAAGAUCGUAGGUCAGAAUACUUUGACACAAGUAAAAAUCCUGCUUUCAGAGGUACAAAGUACUAUCAGUAUACAGUCGAACAGCCAACACCUGAACACGUCCUUAUACUGUGUGUGUAGUCUGUGUACUAUAUGUACAGUGUGUGUACAUUAUGCAGUAAAUGUAUCCAGUGCGUCUACAUUAUGCAGUAAAUGUAUCCAGUGCGUCUACAUUAUGCAGUAAAUGUAUCCAGUGCGUCUACAUUAUGCAGUAAAUGUAUCCAGUGCGUGUACAUUAUGCAGUAAAUGUAUCCAGUGCGUGUACAUUAUGCAGUAAAUGUAUCCAGUGCGUCUACAUUAUGCAGUAAAUGUAUCCAGUGCGUGUACAUUAUGCAGUAAAUGUAUCCAGUGCGUGUACAUUAUGCAGUAAAUGUAUCCAGUGCGUCUACAUUAUGCAGUACAUGUUCCUGCCUCUUCUAUCUGAGUUUUUGUCUGUUUGCUCCCUCUGAUGAAAUCUGUCAGUCAGGCUGAAACGUUUCCACCUCCUGUUGAAAUCUGGUUAAUUUGUGGUGGUCGUGUUUCUGGUGAAGCAGCGGAGCUCAGAAUUCCUGACCCACUUUCCACCACCGCACAUUCCCCAACAUUCCCAAACAUUCCUGAAAGCCAUGAUUGAUAUCAGUGGUCAAUCUGAGCAGAGACAGAUUCAGACUGAAGGUGUUGAGAAGUUCCACAGUGAAACUGGUUCAGGAUCCUCAUUAAAAGAGGAAGUCACUGAGACGGAACUAAGACCGGGUCCUCUGUACUGGACACCUAGAACCUGCUGUAAAGGACAGGAAGUGGACUAAAGGAAAUGUCUUCCAGCCUUGUUUUCAGUUCUAGACCUGUGUUUUGUUUCUUUACUGACGUUUGUUAAGUAAUGUACUGAUUAUUUUAGAGCUUUAAAUCACAUUUUGGUUCAUAUUCAGAGGAAUGAAGAACAUCUAGAACAUUGAAGUAAAUGCCUUUUACUACUUUUCAGAGUAAAUCUUUACAUUAAACUAGAUUUCUGGAAGUAAAGCAUAACAGCAGCUGAUCAGAUGUUGACUGUUGGUUUCUGGUGGUUUGAACAGUUUCUCCUCAUUCUUCUGUCCAUUCUCCUGUCUGUUUGUUCUUCUGUCCGUUCUCCUGACCUGUUCUCUAAUAAACUCAGGUUCAUGUUUGGUGGCUGCAGCUCUGCUCACUUUAACACAAACCUCAAAUGUUGUAGCCAGCCUGAGUUGUAAAAAUGAUUUUGUUUCCUCUGUUCAUAAUUUCUUCUUUUUGAACACCAAUUGAAAAUAAAAUCAGCUCUCAGAUCAGA